AGGAAACAGCUGUGUGGGGAUCAGCUGCCUGCCAGGUUAAACCACAACACCACUGAAGAUGGAGCGUGGCAGUGAGCAUCAAAGGAGCAACCAUUCCAGUGGCCAGAGUUGUAGGCCUGGAGAACUGCCCAUGCACGAGCAAGUCCGCAGACACAGCAGCAAGCCUGCAGGCUGCAUGAGAGACUGCAUGGCAGGAGAGGGACAGAUUCCCAGCCUUCCACCAUCCCAGCCAAACCAGAGCACCUAACUAAGUCUCAAUAUCUGCUCAGACCAAUCUGACCAAUUCGGAGGUGCAGACCAUAUCUGAAUGAGAAGUGGAGCCUUAAUGAGGUGCCUGAAAGGAAGGAACCAGCUAGAAGACAUUAUGACCUGGACCACUUUCAUCUUUGCUGCUGGAAAAUACUUCAACUACUGUCCCGUGGAAUCAGCACAGGGAUUGCCUAGUUCUUCAUACAAAUAAAAGAGUCUGACAGUUAGAGACAUGGAAAUGUUCAUACGUGGGGGACACUGAAGCCAAGAUCAUUGUGACUGCUGAAGCUUUGACCUAAAGCCUCACAGGCUCUGGUCACACACACUGCAAUGAUUUGCAGGCUGUAGCUUUCCUUGCCUGCCUAUUCCACACACCUUCUUCCACCAGGUUCCACUGGUCAUUCUGUCACCAAUAUGUCCAGAAAGUUCUCAAAGUGAAUUUUCUAGAAGUGUAGUGAGAUGAAGAAACUACCUAAUCAGCUUCAACCACAAACUAUCCACAGCCUCAAUCAUAGCAGCUUCUAUCAACACUGGGGAUUCUGAAGCAGCCAGGAACAGUUACUGCAGCUCAGCUGAUGUGCUGUACCUCAGCACAGUGACCUGAGUGGGGGCCCAUACCUUGCCAUCACAUCACAGAGGGUGUAAAUCAGGAUGAUGGAGCAAUCCUCACAUCAUCAGCAUUGCACCAGCAGCUGAAAAUCCAGCCUCCAUCCUGCAGAUCUGGACCCGAAUCUCCAGUCCUACAAACAUCCCCAGGCUGCUAACCUCCCUGGGCAGAGUGACUGCAGGGGACUUGAGCAGAAGCUUCUGCUUCAGAUCCCUCAGACUGUGCAAACACAACCCACAUGAAAUAAGGAUGGGUACGACCAUCAUCCAUCUCCAAACUACAUAAAUAUCACCAGUGGUUCAUGAAACAGCAAAUCCUGGAGCCAGACAUCCUGGGAAGUGCUGUCUCUCAGUUCUAAUAGUUGUCACGAUAUUUGACCAAAUAACUUUUUACUAAAGUAAGUAAAGCACAUAGUGCUCUGUGCUGCAGGCAGAGAGGGAAGGUGAAUAGCAUCCCUCUGCUCCUCUGGCUUUUGCUGCUGGCUAAUUAUUCAUUUGCAGUUUAUCAGCUAAUUACAGCUAUGUGCCUCGGCAUUUGAAGACUUAGGGGCAUACUUUAUUUAACAGUUAGUAAUUACCCAGACCUCCUCUGCUCCCUGUGCAGAAGGUGUUUCUGUUUCUGUCCUUGUGCUGUCGGCUCUAGAGGUUAAAGACCCCCAGACAGAUGGUUACACUGUUGCACAUAGAAGGCAGGCUUAUACUUCAUGUGAUGAUAGAGGUUUCCCAAAUAAUUAUCUGUUAAUGCAACAAAUCAUGUCCUUCAGAGCUCAGUGCUGAUCUCUGUCUGUUCCCAGUAUCUGUGACAGCAGCUUUUGUUUCCAUGUCCAGGUUAAAGAUCACAAAGGGUGCACAAGGUCAUAUGAAGACCAAUUCACUAUUAAUUUUUCCCUGGGAACAGUCCGACAUACAAGCCUUGCACUUCAUCUCAACACCUACACAAUCCACUGCUGCAGACUCACAGUCUGCCUUGGCAUGCAGCACCACCAGGAUGUCCCUGUGAGACAGGGCACGAGCCUCAAAAUACAUGGAAGACACACACAGAUAUGGCAGGAUGCAAAGAACUCUUUGUAGCUUGGCACAGAUGGUUGAAUAGCACAGCUGGAGGGAAUGAGACUUCAGGCAGGAGCGCUGCCAGAGAUGGGAUAUAUUGAGAGCAGCUACAGUUGUGGAGAACAGGUUUUGAAUUUGUUGCCAUCAGUGUUCGCAAAGGAAACCUCGGCCUUAGGAUUAUGCUCAGAUAAUUGAGUAAGAGACUUAACUCUGGCUCAUUUCAUUGUGGGAAGAGAUGAGGUGGAUUAUCAAGUAGCAUGGAAGCAGCAAUCAUAAAUUAGGGUUCUUUAAACUGCAAAAUAGACAUCAUUGUCCUGGAAGUUUUUCGAGCCCUGUCACUAAUUUCUCCAACCUAAGGCCACUUUAUUUCUGAAUGAGGUCAUUCACAUGAGCUUUGCUCAUUUAUUUAUUAAUUUAUUCGAUUAGUUGAAAACCUGUACCUUGCAUGACUUUACUUCUGUAGAAAAAAUAUGGCACAGCUAUUUAUUACUAAGGAACUUUAAAGUUUCCAGCCUCCAGACACUAGAAAAAGGUAUUUACAUAUGUCUUUAACAAGAGGUAACUUCAGAGAUUGUGAUAUUCAGAACAAACACUUGCAUCUCUAACGCCUCUUCAGAGUUAGGCUACUGAACACCUCUGAUUUUGGCAAUGGAUUAACUCUAGAGCAAAGUAGAACUUGAACCUACCACUCCUAUCCCAGCUGGUAGUCAAACCAUUCACCCAUCUGUGAUCUGAACUAGCUGAAUCAAUCAACCUACAUGAAAGGCAAAUGAUCUGUUAAGCUUCUUGUAAUGAAGUCAUUUCUUUCUCACUUUAGGCAAACAACCUCUUGGAAACCAUCCUAAGUCAGCAAGACUACAGCAGCAUCUAAUGUAAUGAGUCAAUACUUACAGUUUUGGAAUUAAAAAAAAAAAAAAAGCUUUCAAAAGUAAUGUGAUCAAGCUAAUAGGUCCCGUGAUGGUGGAUAGCACUUAUGGAUAUAUCAAAUACUGCAAAAGGUUUAAGGUCCAAUAAAAAUUAUUGUUCUGCA
Long non-coding RNA from Myiozetetes cayanensis, 2935 nucleotides. RefSeq lists it as uncharacterized. NCBI's taxonomy places the organism in Eukaryota, Metazoa, Chordata, Aves, Passeriformes, Tyrannidae. The record is from RefSeq and is a predicted model, not a curated record. The transcript has 4 exons.